GUGCCUAACACAUGCAAGUCGAACGGUAACAGGGACUUCGGUCCGCUGACGAGUGGCGCACGGGUGAGUAACGCGUGGAGUUACCUACCCAUCAGUGAGGAACAACCUGGAGAAAUCCAGGCUAAUACCGCAUACGACCUUCGGGUGAAAGAGGGGGAUCUUCGGACCUCUCGCUGAUGGAUGGUUCCGCGUCCGAUUAGUUAGUUGGUAAGGUAAUGGCUUACCAAGACGAUGAUCGGUAGCUGGUUUGAGAGGAUGAUCAGCCACACUGGAACUGAGACACGGUCCAGACUCCUACGGGAGGCAGCAGUGGGGAAUUUUGCACAAUGGGCGCAAGCCUGAUGCAGCGACGCCGCGUGCGGGAAGAAGGCCUUCGGGUUGUAAACCGCUUUCAACAGGGAAGAAGGAAUGAGGGUCAAUACCCCUCUGCCUUGACGGUACCUGUAGAAGAAGCCCCGGCUAAUUUCGUGCCAGCAGCCGCGGUAAUACGAAAGGGGCAAGCGUUGUUCGGAUUUACUGGGCGUAAAGAGAUCGUAGGUGGCUUGUUAAGUCGGAUGUGAAAUCCCGGGGCUCAACCCCGGAACUGCAUUCGAUACUGGCAGGCUUGAGUUCGGGAGGGGGAAGCGGAAUUCCGUGUGUAGCAGUGAAAUGCGUAGAUAUACGGAGGAACACCUGAGGCGAAGGCGGCUUCCUGGACCGAUACUGACACUGAGGAUCGAAAGCGUGGGUAGCAAACAGGAUUAGAUACCCUGGUAGUCCACGCCCUAAACGAUGUCUACUAGCCGUUGCGGGUAUCGACCCCUGCAGUGGCGCAGCUAACGCAAUAAGUAGACCGCCUGGGGAGUAC
RNAcentral lists this ribosomal RNA (847 nucleotides) under uncultured Zetaproteobacteria bacterium. RNAcentral describes it as "bacterial SSU rRNA". It matches the Rfam family "Bacterial small subunit ribosomal RNA", at positions 44 to 883 of the family's 1533-position model. Lineage: Bacteria; Pseudomonadati; Pseudomonadota; Candidatius Mariprofundia. The record is from RNAcentral.